Molecule: long non-coding RNA, 739 nt
Organism: Alosa sapidissima (American shad)
Lineage: Eukaryota; Metazoa; Chordata; Actinopteri; Clupeiformes; Clupeidae
Exons: 2
Source: RefSeq, a predicted model, not a curated record
GCUGCAGGGGGAGCUAUGUCGUGAAAAAAUGCGAGCCCAAAUCAGGCGAAAACCCAGAAACAGCAAAGGAACCAGACCUGCAUAGGGCUUCUAUAAAAGACUGAUUGGGUUUCACUGAACUGUCCUAGAAACAUCAGAACUUUGACAAUCACGGACUUGUCCAAAAGACUGAUCUCAUGCUGCUUUGCCUUGCCAUUAAGCACUGUUAAGUUCAUACAUGUCAUGUCAGAUCUAGCUUCAUGAAACUGUUGCAGAACUGUCCGAUUGUUAAAAGCACAAUUAACUCAGUUAUAGGGCAGACUGGUGUUUUAUUUUCAAUGAAAAAGAUUAAUAUUUGUUUGAAUGCAGUUUCUAAUAUACCCAGAAAGCUAUGUACCAAAUUAUUGCAGCAUUUCAGAGUUGCAGUAAAAUUGGGGCCCAGCCAUUAAGAGACAUGCGAGAAUGUCUUUCCAGAUUUGAGUCCAGCUUUAAAUGUAUUUCUCACAUAGCAACUUGCAAGGACAUGACAAAUGUAAUUAACGAAGACAGGAUACUCUCAAAAAGACCUUGUUGGAUUUACUUAACACAGUUCUGUCAACAAUGUCCACAAGUUAUGAUUUUGAGUGUAAUUGUAUGUGCUGCUUUUGUUAAUGUUUAUCAGGAUACGAUUUAUUAACUAUGAGCUCAGCUCAUUGAGCUGCUUGUAUGCCGUCUCUCACAAUACACAUCCACAUAAAAGAUAAAAGCAUGGAGUACGGUA